This 461-nucleotide unclassified non-coding RNA is filed under the name Amphibalanus amphitrite. Its description in RNAcentral is "mucin-2-like, transcript variant X4". The record is from RNAcentral. Lineage: Eukaryota; Metazoa; Arthropoda; Thecostraca; Balanomorpha; Balanidae.
CAACCUGUUAUGCAAUGCGGCAUGCAUCUGCCAUUUUGUAUUUAUAUACACUGUGCCAUUUUGCACCCAUUUUGAAGUGAAGUUACUUCGAUUACUUCGGAGGGUGUGGACGUGGAGUUGGUGUCAGUGUGGAGGUUAUGUUGAUGUUGCAGGGCGCAUAGCUGGAUCAUAUGGGAAGAGGAUGCUGCUUGCUGCUCUCCACUCCCGUGGCAGACAUAAAGGCGCGCAGCGUCACUCACGUAAAAAUGGACGAGAGGACUUCGACGAGCCAGGCUCUGAAAAUGAGGGCGGUCCGGCUGAUGAUCGCCAAGAGGACGAUGAAGGAGGCCAUGAACAGCGGAAGAAGGACCGCAAAAAAAGUAAGUGAAAGGUUUGGCGCCUUACAUCGCCUGCAUCAGCUUUACGUGUUGCAUUAUUUUCAUAAACGUAUUGAAAUUUCCUGCAUUAAAUACCCUCUUUGU